AUUGAACGCUGGCGGCAGGCCUAACACAUGCAAGUCGAACGGUAACAGGAAGCAGCUUGCUGCUUCGCUGACGAGUGGCGGACGGGUGAGUAAUGUCUGGGAAGCUGCCUGAUGGAGGGGGAUAACUACUGGAAACGGUAGCUAAUACCGCAUAAUGUCGCAAGACCAAAAAGGGGGACCUUCGGGCCUCUUGCCAUCGGAUGUGCCCAGAUGGGAUUAGCUUGUUGGUGGGGUAACGGCUCACCAAGGCGACGAUCCCUAGCUGGUCUGAGAGGAUGACCAGCCACACUGGAACUGAGACACGGUCCAGACUCCUACGGGAGGCAGCAGUGGGGAAUAUUGCACAAUGGGCGCAAGCCUGAUGCAGCCAUGCCGCGUGUAUGAAGAAGGCCUUCGGGUUGUAAAGUACUUUCAGCGGGGAGGAAGGGAGUAAAGUUAAUACCUUUGCUCAUUGACGUUACCCGCAGAAGAAGCACCGGCUAACUCCGUG
RNAcentral lists this ribosomal RNA (490 nucleotides) under uncultured bacterium. RNAcentral's name for it is "partial 16S ribosomal RNA". It matches the Rfam family "Bacterial small subunit ribosomal RNA", at positions 30 to 507 of the family's 1533-position model. The record is from RNAcentral.